UUCACAAAAAAAUUGUUUAGGUCAUCAUAAUAUAAUUAUACCUUGAAUAAUAAUAGGAAAUGUCAAACUCCUGAAGGAAAAUAGUAGUUUUUUUUCAAUUCUAAACUAAGAUUUUAUUAUAAGUAUUUAGGUCCUGGAUGGCAGAAUUUGUUGUCUUGGUUAGUUCUAUUUGCCUCUUAUCAGAAUCUCAAAUACAUAUUUUUUCCUGCCUGAAAUGCUUAGGCCAUAGUGCUGAGGAGGAAAAUGCUGGAAGAGAUGAGAAGAAGAAUUUGGUCAGGAGAUGGAGAUUGUGCAGAAACUCCAACUCCACCAAGAAGAAAACAGAAGUAUAAAAAAUGGAAAUCUCUGCCGAUCCAUACAAAGGCCACAUAAGGACCAAUGCUUCUGACCAGGUCGAUGACCCGCACCUUUGGCUCAGCACUGACUGGCUCCUGGCUCAUCAAUACAAUCUGAUUUCCCUGGGAUCAGCUUGCCCUUGGAGGGACCACUGGGCAUUUCCAAGCAAAGGACCACUGCCUUUUCACUCUGGGCCACCAAACCAGACCCCGGCAGAGGCUCCCUCAUCAUCUCCACCCUCCGAGAGGUUGGGGGAAGGAUUGGGAAGCUCUCUAACCAAGUGUCAUCAAAUGGGAUGCCUUGAUGAGGCAGUCUCAACCAUCCUGGUUUGCAGUCCUCUCCCAUUCAUAUACGGCACUGGGUUCAAGCCCGAGGUUCCCGAGAGAGGUGGCUAG
Molecule: long non-coding RNA, 731 nt
Filed under: Mustela putorius furo (domestic ferret)
Lineage: Eukaryota; Metazoa; Chordata; Mammalia; Carnivora; Mustelidae
Description: lncRNA (ENSMPUG00000024858.1)
Source: RNAcentral